UACUGGUAUUUUAAGAUUUAGUUCUGCUUAAAAAUAGUUAAAUUGCAUCUGAGAUCUUUCAUUGAUGCUUUAUCACCUUAGAGAACUGGUUCCAUCU
Small nucleolar RNA from Juglans regia (Persian walnut), 97 nucleotides. Lineage: Eukaryota; Viridiplantae; Streptophyta; Magnoliopsida; Fagales; Juglandaceae. The record is from RefSeq and is a predicted model, not a curated record.